This 496-nucleotide ribosomal RNA is filed under the name uncultured bacterium. RNAcentral's name for it is "partial 16S ribosomal RNA". It matches the Rfam family "Bacterial small subunit ribosomal RNA", at positions 28 to 506 of the family's 1533-position model. The record is from RNAcentral.
GAUGAACGCUGGCGGCGUGCCUAAUACAUGCAAGUCGAGCGAACGGACGAGAAGCUUGCUUCUCUGAUGUUAGCGGCGGACGGGUGAGUAACACGUGGAUAACCUACCUAUAAGACUGGGAUAACUUCGGGAAACCGGAGCUAAUACCGGAUAAUAUUUUGAACCGCAUGGUUCAAAAGUGAAAGACGGUCUUGCUGUCACUUAUAGAUGGAUCCGCGCUGCAUUAGCUAGUUGGUAAGGUAACGGCUUACCAAGGCAACGAUGCAUAGCCGACCUGAGAGGGUGAUCGGCCACACUGGAACUGAGACACGGUCCAGACUCCUACGGGAGGCAGCAGUAGGGAAUCUACCGCAAUGGGCGAAAGCCUGACGGAGCAACGCCGCGUGAGUGAUGAAGGUCUUCGGAUCGUAAAACUCUGUUAUUAGGGAAGAACAUAUGUGUAAGUAACUGUGCACAUCUUGACGGUACCUAAUCAGAAAGCCACGGCUAACUACGU